UGGAUAUGAAGCACCCACGCCUGAGAUGUAUUCUGUGUGCUACACAGGCAGAUCCUCUGCAGCAGAAACCUGUGCUUGCUUUUUCACCCAUUGCACUGCCAUAAUAAUGCUUUCCUCAAACCAUCCAUUAGCCAGAAGAGAAGUGGAAGGCAGUGAGGCAAUGAGAGAGUGGAGGCAGCAGCAGAGAGGCAGCUGGGGCAGGAGGGAAGAAGGUGUGGAUAAGGGUAGGGGUAAGUCAGAAUGGAGGAGAGGGACGGGAGAGUGAUAACAGGUCCUGAGGGUGCAGAGCAAAGAUGGAGAAAGUCAAAAAAAUGGGACAUGAGAUGGAGUCUACUGGGAGCUCAGCGGGAUGGAAAGGAGAUGAUGUGGACAAGCUUAAACAACAGCUGCAGAACAGCAUUCCUGGAUCAAAUGGAGCACAUUGAACAAAGCAACACAGGACAGAUGAAAUCUUGUCUGCAAAGAUCAGAGAGGAGACCAGGAAAGCAAGUCUGUGGAAUUGUUCAUCUUGUCUGCUCUAGAAGAUGGAUUUCCAGGGCUGUCAUUGUUUAGACAAGACUUUUUCACCCCUCAGUGCUGUGGCCCCUAUUUUCUGCUCCUGCUUAUUGGAAUCAGUGCAUUCCCACAAUCAAAGGAAAAGUGGAUUUACAGCAGUUGCAGAGCCCUUGGACAUGUCCUGCACACAUCAGCCACCCAAAGCCCAGCAAGUUACAGAUUCCUGGUCUAUCCUGAAGAACAUCUUUGAUAUUCAGCAGAGGCUUUUACCCCACUGACACAGUGCAUUUGUCAGAGCAUUAACUCUGUGUUUCAUACAAAAGCUGUCAGCAUAGCUGUCAUUUCAGUUGCAUUUAAUGACAGAAGUAUGUGAGACCAACCCUAUUUUAAUUUCAUAACUGUUGACUCUGAAAAGCCAUUAUUCUCUGGCCUUUUUUAGUGUUUUCUCUCAUAACAAUUACAAUUAGUUUGGCUAAUAGUAUAAAUUAUCACUUGCUUAAAGCUGCAAAUUACAAGUUGCAUGCUCCCCAACCUGCUUUGCCCAGAACACUUCUAGAUUAGAAGAAAAUCCUCAUUUCUUCUACCACGGUUGGUGGGGACUCAGGGAAAGAAGAACAUUCCUUCCAUCAUAGAUUUCAUUGUGUGGUAAAUCCUUCCUCAUCUAGAUAUUACAAACUAUAUCAUAAUAUAUUGAUCUUAAUUCUUGGUGGGUUUUCACACUAAAAACUGUUUUCCUUUGGGUAUUGGUCUUGUUUGGUUGUGGUAUUUAAUGAUUUUUCAGGUAGGGUUUUUUCAUAAAUUUUAAUCAAAUACAACAUUGUGGCAGGCAAUGGAGAAAUUCACUGUAACAUCCUUGUCAGUCACAACAUCCCUCUCCUCAUCCCCAUGGUGAAUCUCAUACCUUUGAAUCCGGGCCAGGAAUGAGACAGGAAGGGCAAGUGGCUACCCAGGUGUCUGACUGUAGGUUUGUGCUGCAGAAACUCUGCACAAAGUGGGACUUCAAAGUGAUAAUCAUAUAAAUUGAAUCAAUGUGUAUGUCAUGUCAUUUAUAGUCCAAUGACAUAGAAAAUAAUGCUUUUUAGUUAUCUGUAAUAAGUUAAACUUAACUGCUCAGAGAAUUUGAUUUGUGGAUUAAAAGUGCCAAGGAAUACUCAGAUAAUACAGUGACUUACUAAAGCUACUAAAAAGAAGAUAAAACAUGUAAUUAAAAGUUCACUGAGGGAAUAUUCUCUUUAAGAAACAUAUGUACACUACAAAUACCUGUUAAAAAUGUUAUCUUUUCUAGCAAAAUAUCUGAAGGGCAGAAAGUAGCCCAGUGAGAAAGCAGUGAAUUUGUUCUCAGCAUAAGGCAGCACUCAGUGCCUUUUAGCCAACAGAGAGGGUUUGUACGCCUGGCAAUAGUGAGUGACCAUUGCAGUGGGCAGCUCUUUGGCAGAGUAGCCACAGACCUCUGUCAGCAAAAAUACCCAAAACUUUAACAGCCUUCCAAGCACAGUGUACAGAAGUGGAAACCACCUGGCAUAUAGCACACAGCUGUAUGGUAUUAUUUUAUAUAAUUAUUAUUAACAAAACACAGCUGCCGGCUGAUGUAGAUCCAGGCUUUUUGAGCCGUCUGUUUUUCUGGAGGACUUCAGUUAAGAGAACCAAAGCUGUUCUGGCUGUCACCAGGGUGAUCAUUUUCAGUUGUUCUAUGUCUGUGCCAGAAAAGUAACCACCCAGAAAUCCCAGCACUGACUUUAAAAGCCUGAGAAGUGUCUCCUCUUUCCUCCCCCAAUAACAUGUCUUUUUUUCUUUGUAUUGUCAUUUCUAUUAAGAGGUGUUUAAAGUCAAAUGGGCCUUCCUCUAAAAACAAAACAAACAAGCAAACCAACUCCGAAACAACGACAAUAAAAGGCAUUUUGAAGCAGUGCUUAGUGUUUUC
Zonotrichia albicollis (white-throated sparrow) is the source of this 2416-nucleotide long non-coding RNA. The record is from Ensembl. NCBI's taxonomy places the organism in Eukaryota, Metazoa, Chordata, Aves, Passeriformes, Passerellidae.